UACGUAGGGUGCGAGCGUUGUCCGGAAUUACUGGGCGUAAAGAGCUCGUAGGUGGUUUGUCGCGUCGUCCGUGAAAUCCCAUGGCUUAACUGUGGGCGUGCGGGCGAUACGGGCAGACUUGAGUACUGCAGGGGAGACUGGAAUUCCUGGUGUAGCGGUGGAAUGCGCAGAUAUCAGGAGGAACACCGGUGGCGAAGGCGGGUCUCUGGGCAGUAACUGACGCUGAGGAGCGAAAGCGUGGGGAGCAAACAGGAUUAGAUACCCU
RNAcentral lists this ribosomal RNA (265 nucleotides) under uncultured prokaryote. Its description in RNAcentral is "partial 16S ribosomal RNA". It matches the Rfam family "Bacterial small subunit ribosomal RNA", at positions 524 to 788 of the family's 1533-position model. The record is from RNAcentral.